Molecule: ribosomal RNA, 305 nt
Filed under: uncultured bacterium
Lineage: Bacteria
Description: bacterial SSU rRNA
Rfam family: Bacterial small subunit ribosomal RNA
Source: RNAcentral
UCCCUACGGGACGCAGCAGUGAGGAAUAUUGGUCAAUGGGCGCGAGCCUGAACCAGCCAAGUCGCGUGAGGGAAGACGGUCCUAUGGAUUGUAAACCUCUUUUGUCGGGGAGCAAAAGACGCCACGUGUGGCGUUCCGAGAGUACCCGACGAAAAAGCAUCGGCUAACUCCGUGCCAGCAGCCGCGGUAAUACGGAGGAUGCGAGCGUUAUCCGGAUUUAUUGGGUUUAAAGGUUGCGCAGGCGGAAGAUCAAGUCAGCGGUCAAAUUGAGAGGCUCAACUUCUUCGAGCCGUUUAAACUGGUUU